Anguilla rostrata (American eel) is the source of this 3887-nucleotide RNA transcript. RefSeq lists it as uncharacterized. The transcript is spliced from 4 exons. The record is from RefSeq and is a predicted model, not a curated record. Lineage: Eukaryota; Metazoa; Chordata; Actinopteri; Anguilliformes; Anguillidae.
UGAUGUGUAUAUAUACAACAGGGUCUGCACUGUGUAGGCAUCUCACCUCAGAAGAACAGCUCCACUGCUACCAUACCACAGAGGAAGACCUCCAAAAUCGUCGAAAAGAAAAACUAUGGCAAGCUCAAACCAGAUUCUUGAAGUUACCAAAGGCCUCACUACAGCAGCAGAAUGCCGGGAGGACACAAAACUGCUGAUGCAGCCUUACGCUAACUGGGAGGAAUACCUGACCCCAGCACCAAUGUCCAUAGCCAUCCUGGCAGAGCUGAUCUUCAUCUCCUCCAAUUCUGAUUUUUCCAUUCGUAAAGGUGGCCCAGAGGGUGGAUUCAAGUAUAUCAAGUACCCAGACUCAUUCCGUGCCUGCCUCAUGCAAGUGUGUAAUUCUGGGUGGCGUGCGUUCAAUGAUGCACACAAGAAUAUGGACCAAAUUCGUCUCUACACCAGCAAUGUACCAAAUUACAUCAAGAUGGCAGUGCAGAUACUCCUCCAGGAUGAUGACAACUUUGUUCAGGCCAUGCUCCCAGACCAGCUGGAUAACAUUUCGAACAUAGCUGAUGAGUGUGUGAAUCUGGCUCAGUCGACAGAGAAAAGGUUCACUGAUGUCAUUGAACUCAUCCAGGAGCUCCUCGAAACUUGCACCAGUGCAAAACAGGUAUAUGGGGAGGAGUUGGAAGAAGUCCGAAAGAAAAUCAGUGAAAAUGAGCUGAGGAAAGUGGCUGCAGAGGAGGCCACCAAACGUGCUGAACAGGCUUACAAGAACAUGAACCAGCAGCUGAAGGAGGCCCAGGAAAGCUUCAAAUCAGCAAUGGACUCAAUGCCAAGUGGCUGGGACAUGAUGGGAAUGAAUUUUGUGGAAGGGCUCGCUGGCAGUGUUACAACUGCACUUUCAGGGCUUGCUUCCAUUGUCGCUUCACCAGUUAACCUCCCUGCAAAGAUAGCCGGCACUGCAACUGGAAAAACCACUGCAACAGUUAAACCUGAUGCAAAUAAUGACCAAAUCUCGGCAAACAAUAUUUAUUCCAAAUCACCUCAGAUACUGCCUUUAGUCGAAGGCCUCGAUGUUUUUUUUGAUGGAGACCAAAUCAAGUGGUCUGAAAUAGUUGACCAGAAAACUAAACUCCCCAAAACCAAUUGGACUAAGGAACAAUUUGUGAAAAUUCAAGAAGUAAUGAAAAAGGAAAAAGAAUGCAAACCAAAAAUGGAAGCUUUGGGAAUAUGCACCAAAGCCAUCACUAUCUGCUCUGAACUGGGAAAAGUUAACCCUGAAGAGCCUGAUGAUGCCAUAACAAAACAGACUGUGGAGCUAAUGAAAAGUCUGAGAAAAGAUGUUAUGGUUUUUGAUACCGAAAGCAAAUCUGCAACUAAUACCUCAGCAUUCAAUGUAAAACCACCACAAAUUACUCAAACUCAAGAAAAUAGUUCAGGCUCCAAGUCUGCAGGCCAGAUAGCCGCGGAUAACGCUCGCUUUAAAGUAGAACAGAGCAGAGCCCAGCUUAAGGAUGCGAGGGAAUUAUAUGAGAAGCAUUUUAACAACAUGGAGGAAAAGAAGAAAGAGUUGACCGAAAUUCUUGUCUCCUUGAGAAACUGUGCAGUCAAAGAGAUAGACUUCAACACCACCAUAAAACUUCUGGCCCAAGGUCUAGAAGCAAUGGGAAAUGUGAAGGAGCAGUGGCAGAAGCUGGUGCGUUUUUUCCAGAUGGUUUCCAACCUCAUCAAAACCUGCCUGGGCACAUCCCUGAAUGAUUUUGUUAAAACUGGUGAGAAAGCAUCAAACAAAACAUUCAAGUACACUUCACGAAUGUUUUUGAAAGACGUGAUCUACAACCAGGCAUUCUAUGCAUCCAACAUUACCAGCCUGGUUAAUAUGAUCGCAGGGACCUACACAGAUGUUUCUAACAAGUAUCUGAUGGACGCAGUCAGCAAGCUGAGCAAGCUCAUGUCUUUAGACAUCAGCAAGCCAGAGUUCAUCAGUGAGCGAGCAAACAUGGUAACGUCCUGUGACCAAGCUGAAGAAGGAAUAAGAAAUCUUGUCAAGAAAAAUAAGCAGGACUUUGAAAGGAAGACCAUGCAAAGACUGGAGAAAAUUGAGAGUGAGCUGAUGGCUGUGCUACCUCCGGUGUCUGAAGAGAAGAAAAAGGAAAUUCAGGAAGCAGUUCAUAAAGCAUCCAAGAAUGAUGAGGAUGAUGAUCAAUAUGCUUGAUGGUGCCAUGGCAACCUGAACAGCUUGGGAGAGCAAAAAGUCCUAUUUUCACAGGGUCAGAGCCCCUCCCACUCACCGGAUGACCCAUUAAAAGAAGAAAUCCACACUGUCUGCAAUAAUUCUGCUCUUUGCUUGGACCCUCCAUCUCAUCAAAAUGAUCUAUUAUCCAAAUCAAAUAUUGAGUCUGGAGAGGCAUUUUUCAUUGCUAAAAAAUUAAUGUGCACACACCCACACACACAUAAACACACACAGGCAUGCAAUCACACACAAACACACACACACAGAGGGGUAUGCAAUCACACAUAGAUUUGCACCACAUGUACAACUAUACUGGGGGAUGAGCAGGAAGUAAGUGCAUGCAUAGUUGCUACCCUUACGAAAAAACCACAUGUCCAAAAAACACAUGUCCAAAAACAUGUAAACACUGAACAUGUGAAGAGUACACAUGUGAACUAUAAAACCAAUCCCACUUGAUGAGAUGAGUCGGAAAAGGUAACCUAAGCUAUUUCUAAUCACGUUUUGUUUCAAAAUGCAAAAAUCGUAGUUCACAUUUGGAAAAAGCGAGUCACAUGAGACAAUUUCCAGUCCAUAUGACAUUUUCUUUUCAUAAUAUUCACACGUGAAAUUGUGAUUUUCACACACGAAAACAGCAAAUUUCAUGUGAUUUUUUCAUAAGGGUACACAUUCAAAUACAUUAAUAAGAAUCCACAAUCUUGUUUGAAACAUACAAACUAAUGUAUUUUGCUGACACAUUUAUGCUAAAAUAUUUUUGGCUAAUGAAACUGGAAGUAAUGCAAAACCAGAUGAAAUUACACCUUUUAAGGAAUCCAACAGAUUAUGUUACUCAUUCAAUUUUUUCAUGUCGUUUGUUUUCAGUAUCAGAUUCAAUUUUACAAGUAAUCCACCCUACACUGGUUUUAGCAAUACACGUUAAAACCAACCAAUAAUCAAACCAGUGUUAAGAGUUUAUAUACGUAAUUUUGAACAUUUUCAAAAUGUUCGUCUAAAAAGUGAAAGUUCUCUCAUUUUAUUGUAAUACUUCUGUGUCAGUGACAACGUACUUAGGUGUCAUGGGUAAGUUGUCCUUGAGUGCUGGCCUAGGAUCAGAUUUGAUUUUGAACUUAAAAUGGUUAACACCUCAAAGCUCCAAUUUAAUUUCUGUUUUUAAAAUAAAUGAAUAAUCUUUCUAUCACUUCUAUUACCCACAGGUCUUGAGGCAAGCACAUUGAUAGAGGCACUUUUGACAGUACCCUUGUCAAUCUCCUGUGGUGUCUGGUGCUGGGCGUGUGAAGUGCACCUUUGUAAAAGUGUCUACUAAACUGUAAAUUGUAAGAUUAAGAUUUCGGUUAGUGAACAUCAUCAUGGAUCAGCACUUAAGGGCAACAAAACCUUAAUGUUAUUAGACAUGAUAGAGUACCACAUGCUGUUCUGAAUGUCAUACUAUUGCCAUAUUUUGACCGGUCAGUAACUGAAAGGUUCACCAUAUUGUAAACUCAUCUGUGCUUACAAGACACAAUUUGUAAUUUCGAGACAUUUUACAAUUUUCAGUGAGAAAACAUAUGCCGCUUGCUUAAUUAAUUGAUGCUUGUCUUAUUAACCUUUCAUAACUGUGGUUCUGAUCAUUCAAUGUGCUCUUGAAUGGAAUUGUCAGGAACCUCUAUAAUAAACACUUUUUGCUUUCAAAUAA